Molecule: ribosomal RNA, 1432 nt
Filed under: metagenome
Description: bacterial SSU rRNA
Rfam family: Archaeal small subunit ribosomal RNA
Source: RNAcentral
GUUGAUCCUGCGGGAGGACGCUGCUAGUAGGUUGCGAUUUAGGCAUGCAAGUCCAGGGGCUCUUUGAGCACCGGCAGAAUGCUUAGUAACACGUUGAUAAUCUGACCUUAGGUAAGGGAUAACCUCGGGAAACUGAGGCUAAUACCUUAUAGGGAAUGGAUACUGGAAUGUUCUAUUUCCAAAAGAUUACGCCUAAGGAUGAGUCAGCGGCUGAUUAGCUUGUUGGCGGGGUAAUGGCCCACCAAGGCUACGAUCAGUACGGGCCUUGAGAGAGGUAACCCGAAGAGGGGAACUGAGAUAAGAUCCCCAGCCCUACGGGGUGCAGCAGCCGCGAAACCUUUACAAUGCACGAAAGUGUGAUAAGGGUAACCUACGUGCUUACACACUGUGUAAGCUUCUGUCAAGAUUAAAUCCCUUGACGAAUAAGGAGUGGGCAAGACUGGUGCCAGCCGCCGCGGUAACACCAGCGCUUCGAGUGGGGUCCGCGUUUAUUGGGCCUAAAGCGUCCGUAGCCUGAUAUGUAAGUCUUUUGUGAAAGUGUCGUGCUUAACUCGACAAAUGGCAAGAGAUACUGCAUGUCUUGGAAUUGGGAUGGGUUAGAGGUACCCCUUGGGGACCGGUAAAAUGGGAUAAUCCUUGGAGGACCACCUGUGGCGAAGGCGUCUAACUAGAACAAUUUCGACGGUGAGGGACGAAAGCCAGGGGAGCGAUCCGGAUUAGAUACCCGAGUAGUCCUGGCUGUAAACGCUGCGAGCUAAGCGUUGCACAAUCUACAUGGUUGUGCAGUGUUGAAGUGAAGACGAUAAGCUCGCCGCCUGGGAAGUACGGUCGCAAGACUGAAACUUAAAGGAAUUGGCGGGGGCUCGCUACCAGGGGUGCGGCGUGCGGUCUAAUCUAACUACACACAGAGAAUCUCACCAGGAGCGACGGCAGGAUGAAGGUCAGAUUGAAGGUUUUACCUGACGAGCCGAGAGGUGUUGCAUGGCCGCCGUCAGCUCGUGCCGUAAGGUGUCCUGUUAAGUCAGGUAACGAGCAAGAUCUGCAUCUUCAAUUGCUAACAGGUCCUUCGGGAUGUCUGAGCACAUUGGAGAGACUGCCCGGGAAUCUGGGAGGAAGGCGCAGGCUACGGUAGGUCUGUAUGGCCCGAAUCUCCUGGGCUACACGCGCGCAACAAUGGUUGGAACAAUGGGCUGCUACUCCGAAAGGAGGAGCUAAUCCUCGAAAUCCAAUCUUAGUCUAGAUUGAGGGUUGCAACCCACCCUCAUGACACUGGAAUCCCUAGUAAUCGGAUUUUAUAAGAAUCCGGUGAAUACGUCCCCGAGCCUUGCACACACCGCCCGUCAAACCACUCGAGCAUAGUCUAGGUGAGGUUUGGUUUUUUUGAUGGAAUCGAACCUAGUCUAAGUGAGAUGGGUUAAGUCGUCACAAGGUA